UCCUCCCUCUGUCGGCGUGCUUAACACAUGCAAGUCGUACGGUAAGGCCCUUUCGGGGGUACACGAGUGGCGAACGGGUGAGUAGCACGUGAGUAACCUGCCCACAACUUUGGGAUAACGCUAGGAAACUGGUGCUAAUACUGGAUAUGUGCUCCUGCUGCAUGGUGGGGGUUGGAAAGCUCCGGCGGUUGUGGAUGGACUCGCGGCCUAUCAGCUUGUUGGUGGGGUAGUGGCCUACCAAGGCGGCGACGGGUAGCCGGCCUGAGAGGGUGACCGGCCACAUUGGGACUGAGACACGGCCCAGACUCCUACGGGAGGCAGCAGUGGGGAAUAUUGCACAAGGGGCGCAAGCCUGAUGCAGCAACGCCGCGGGCGGGAGGACGGCCUUCGGGUUGUAAACCGCUUUCAGCAGGGACGAAGCUUUUUGUGACGUUACCUGCAGAAGAAGCACCGGCUAACUACGUG
This 465-nucleotide ribosomal RNA is filed under the name uncultured bacterium. RNAcentral's name for it is "partial 16S ribosomal RNA". It matches the Rfam family "Bacterial small subunit ribosomal RNA", at positions 36 to 507 of the family's 1533-position model. The record is from RNAcentral.